This 616-nucleotide ribosomal RNA is filed under the name Cortinarius sp. OSC 1064104. RNAcentral describes it as "eukaryotic LSU rRNA". The stretch from base 213 to 366 matches the Rfam family "5.8S ribosomal RNA". The record is from RNAcentral. Lineage: Eukaryota; Fungi; Basidiomycota; Agaricomycetes; Agaricales; Cortinariaceae.
UAAAAGUCGUAACAAGGUUUCCGUAGGUGAACCUGCGGAAGGAUCAUUAUUGAAAUAAACCUGAUGGGUUGUUGCUGGUUCUCUAGGGAGCAUGUGCACGCCUUGUCAUCUUUAUAUCUCCACCUGUGCACCUUUUGUAGACCUUCCAGGUCUAUGUUGCUCCAUUUACCCCAAUGUAUGUUAAUAGAAUGUUGUGUUUAUAAAAUCUAUACAACUUUCAGCAACGGAUCUCUUGGCUCUCGCAUCGAUGAAGAACGCAGCGAAAUGCGAUAAGUAAUGUGAAUUGCAGAAUUCAGUGAAUCAUCGAAUCUUUGAACGCACCUUGCGCUCCUUGGUAUUCCGAGGAGCAUGCCUGUUUGAGUGUCAUUAAUAUAUAUAUCAACCUUCUCUUGUUGGAGUGGUUUGGAUGUGGGGGUUUGCUGGCCUCUUAAAAGGUUCAGCUCCCUUGAAAUGCAUUAGCAGAACGGACCUGUUCAUUGGUGUGAUAACUAUCUACGCUAUUGAAUGUGAGGGGAUGUUCAGCUUUCUAACUGUCCUUGGACAAUUUAUCAUUUUAUGUGACCUCAAAUCAGGUAGGACUACCCGCUGAACUUAAGCAUAUCAAUAAGCGGAGGAA